Molecule: ribosomal RNA, 253 nt
Filed under: uncultured bacterium
Lineage: Bacteria
Description: partial 16S ribosomal RNA
Rfam family: Bacterial small subunit ribosomal RNA
Source: RNAcentral
UACGAAGGGGGCUAGCGUUGUUCGGAAUUACUGGGCGUAAAGCGCACGUAGGCGGAUACUUAAGUCAGGGGUGAAAUCCCGGGGCUCAACCCCGGAACUGCCUUUGAUACUGGGUAUCUCGAGUCCGGAAGAGGUGAGUGGAAUUCCGAGUGUAGAGGUGAAAUUCGUAGAUAUUCGGAGGAACACCAGUGGCGAAGGCGGCUCACUGGUCCGGUACUGGCGCUGAGGUGCGAAAGCGUGGGGAGCAAACAGG